CUGUGUUUUGUCUCCUGUGAGCCUGUCUCAUUUCCUCCUCUUCCAUGGCGUCCUAUCUGCGUGCCGCUCUGUAUUGGUAGUGCGCACGUGACUGUGCGCGCCUUGGCACACUUGCGACCAGGUGAAUGAAAUUGGGGUAAUCAGAAGCUCGUGCCCAGUUAAGUGAGCGGGAGCAUAUAUACACACACAAUGCAGUCAUUUGGCUGAAAUGAAAUGGACUGAGAGGACGGCAGAAGCAUUAUGCAUCCACUGUGAGGAAUGAGACUUUUGAUUGUGACAGGCUAUCGGUUUUUCACCUGUUACUCCUGUUACUCCUGUUACUUGAACUGGUCAAAAUAAAUUUAUCUGAGUGAAAUCCGAAGUCUUGUCCUUGUUAAGUGUGGACACCUCACAGCUAGAAGAAAACACUUGACAGUGAAAAACCGGCCUGGCCAGAAGGAAACCGGCCGUGACCAGUGAAGACUCCACAAAAGCCCACCGCAAAGAGGGAAAGAGACUCCACCUGGGGGCCUGGAGGAAAUCAACUAUCUGCCGUCCACCUGUCA
Pimephales promelas (fathead minnow) is the source of this 545-nucleotide non-coding RNA. NCBI's taxonomy places the organism in Eukaryota, Metazoa, Chordata, Actinopteri, Cypriniformes, Leuciscidae. The record is from RefSeq and is a predicted model, not a curated record.